This 162-nucleotide ribosomal RNA is filed under the name uncultured bacterium. RNAcentral's name for it is "partial 16S ribosomal RNA". It matches the Rfam family "Bacterial small subunit ribosomal RNA", at positions 352 to 526 of the family's 1533-position model. The record is from RNAcentral.
CAGUAGGGAAUAUUGGGCAAUGGGCGAAAGCCUGACCCAGCGACGCCGCGUGAGGGAUGAAGGUCUUCGGAUUGUAAACCUCUUUCAGUAGGGAAGAAGCGAAAGUGACGGUACCUAAAGAAGAAGCACCGGCUAACUAUGUGCCAGCAGCCGCGGUAAUAA